Molecule: ribosomal RNA, 2294 nt
Filed under: microbial mat metagenome
Description: bacterial SSU rRNA
Rfam family: Eukaryotic small subunit ribosomal RNA
Source: RNAcentral
UCUGGUUGAUCCUGCCAGUGGCCAUAUGCUACGUUCAAGGGCUAAGCCAUGCAUGUCUCAGCGCAAAUGGCUCCACAAUGGGUCUGUGAAUGGCUCCUUACAUCAGCAGUCAUCUCCUCGACAGCGUGUGGUCGAUGCCGGUCCCAGGGCAUCCAGCGAGACAUCCACCAAAACCUUGUGGCUAAUACCUGCUCGCAACGGUCGGCCGCGGCCCCUGGAUAGCUGUCAUUUGCUGCUUUCAUGCGGCGGAUUGCGCCCAGUUGUGCGGAAGACCAGCGCGUCCUCGUGACGCAGCGUGUAGUGGAUGAAUCAGGCUGGUCCUCCUCGGACAGCCGUGCUGGCGCCUAGGGGCGGUCCUCGAACCGCAAUCGCUUGGUCAUCGGAACUUCUGACCUAUCAGCUCGGAUCGUGGGGUCGUGGCCCACACUGGCUUUGACGGGUGACGGAGAACCAGGGUUCGAUUCCGGAGAGGCAGCCUGAGAGAUGGCUACCACUACCAAGGUGGGCAGCAGGCACGCAAAUUGCCCAAUGUCAACACAGUCUCGAUGAGGCAGCGACGAACUGCACCGAUCCCACUCGGUUUCCUAGCCAGUGGGUCCCGGCAUGGAUGCUAUUCAAACACAGCGAUGAGAAUCGACUGGAGGGCAAGUCUGGUGCCAGCAGCUGCGGUAAUUCCAGCUCCAGAGGCGUAUGCUAACAUUGCUGCCGUUAAAACGCUCGUAGUCCGCCUCGGGUCCGCAGGUCUGCCAGGCGUCAAACCCUGGCGGUAUGCUCCUGCGCCCACAACGUUCGUUGUUCCAGUGAUGCCGAACCGCUCCUGCCUCAAGUCCCCUUCAGUGGGGAUCCCAGCGGCCCUGGCUCGCACGUCGAGUCUGCGACGACUGUGGUGGUGUGCGGCCCCGUGCCACACGUACGAUUCCCCUCAAAAGGAUCGGCCACCGUCCGCCACCGGAGCCCAUCACGGCUGGCACCCUGGAAAAAUCAAUGUGCUCCAAGCAACCAACUGUACCUCAGUGAUGGCUGGAUGUUCCUCCAGCGAAAGUCAAAGCAUCGACCGAGUCAUGGCAAAUCGAGUUGUGCUGGGCUUCGAGCCGACUCUCUGGGCAAUCUGGUCCUCGCUGGCAGCGCCACCCACCCCGUCUGCCCCGUGCGUGCCCUCGGGUGCGUGCGACGGUGGGCGGGACCCAAAAGGGGCCUCGGCUCCGAGGGUGCGCGCCUGUUCCAUGCGUGGAUCAAUCGGCUGUGAUGGAACCAGCUCAGGGUGAAGGAUAUUGCAGCGCCAGAGGUGAAAUUCUUAGACCGUUGCAGGAUCUCCUGCAGCGAAGGCGCUUUCCCAGUGCUUGUUCGUCGACAAGGAACGAGAGUCCGGGGAUCAAAGAUGAUCAGACACCGUCGUAGUCCGGACCGUCAACGAUGUCAGCUGGGCUGUGACAGGGCUCCUCCACCCUGCCAGCGCCACGCCCCCACACCGAGAAAUCCGAAGCUUCCGGAUUCAGGGGGAAGUACUGCUGCAAGGCUGAAACUUAAAGGAAUUGACGGAAUGGCACCACAAGGCGUGGGAUCUGCGGCUUAAUUUGACUCAACACGCGGAACGUUACCAGGUCAGAACACAGCCAGGAUGGACAGACUGAUCGCUCUUUCUUGAUCCUGUGGAUGGUGGUGCAUGGCCGCUCCUGAUUGGUGGAGUGAUUUGUCUGGUUGAUUCCGAUAACGAGUGAGACAUCUGCCUCCCAAUAGCCCGGGGCUCGCAUCUGGUAGGGCAGUCUCCGUGGUCCAAACGGCGGGCGCCGGUCGCUCCUCACGGGGUGGCCGGCGUUCGUCUCCGCGGGACUCCCGAGAGCUCUCCGGUCGCUUCUCUGAGGUGCUGGCUCCGUCUCCAGGAGCUGCAUGCUAGAGCCAACAGCAGGUCUGUGAUGCUCCGAGAUGUUCUGGGCCGCACGCGGAUCACAAUGGCAGGGCGAGCGAGUUACCCGCUCACUUCGGUCGAGCCCUGGCCAGACGUGGUCGGGAAACCUUCCAAGUCCCUUCAGGUCCCAUUGGGGAUAGACGAUUGCCACUGUCUGCCUUGAACAUGGAAUGCCUCGUAGGCGCCGGUCAUCAGCCGGCACCGAUUGCGUCCCUGCCAUUUGUACACACCGCCCGUCGUUGCUACCGAUGGUGGCUGGCCAAAGCCACCUGGAGGUCCACGGCCCGUGUCCCCUCGGGGGCGUGGUGCCCAGCCGAACUCUGGCGAUGCCCACUCGCUAGAGGAAGCAAAAGUCGUAACAAGGUUGCUGUAGGUGAACCUGCAGCAG